AUGCGGCGCCGGGUGCAGGAGACCGAGCGCCGGCCCAGGCUGAUGCUCGCCUUCCUCCUCAAGGUCGCCGGAGAUCCCGACGCGCUGCGCCGCCUCGUAGGCGACUUCCACGGCGGCCCGCAAGAUGGCGCGGGGGCCAAGUGGCCGCGGCUGCUUCUCGACGACGGGGAGGUCGUCCAGCUGGCGUCGGGCGACAAGACGAUGUCGUCCGUCGAUGGCGUGGGGUCGACGCGCUGUUGCAUAACAUGA
RNAcentral lists this ribosomal RNA (249 nucleotides) under Triticum aestivum (bread wheat). RNAcentral describes it as "partial small subunit ribosomal RNA". Lineage: Eukaryota; Viridiplantae; Streptophyta; Magnoliopsida; Poales; Poaceae. The record is from RNAcentral.